AAAACGGCUAUUUUCAGAGCCACCCUAAUUUUUUAAAAGAGAUACA
Ciona savignyi (Pacific transparent sea squirt) is the source of this 46-nucleotide non-coding RNA. The record is from Rfam. Lineage: Eukaryota; Metazoa; Chordata; Ascidiacea; Phlebobranchia; Cionidae.